UAGACCCAUCAGGCAGACAAUUUAGUUAACUAUUGUGGGAAAUUAACCCAAGCUGUUCAGCCUGUUUCUCAACAAGUUUCUGCUGCUUGGAAAUGAUCCAAUGGAAGGAGGACACACCUUAAUUCCUAUUUCAAGCAUUCAAGCUGGGAGAUGCCAGAAAUGGCCGGGAGUGAAAAUGAAAUCAAGUUAGGAACGAGGAAGAAUUGGAAGGCAUUGACAAUCAUCUUGAAAGUUGCAAUGAGCAUGAAGAUUUGGAGGAUGUAAUCAUCCACAGCUUUGUACCAUAUCCAAUGCGGACGUUGAUGACCAUGGUUUUCCAUAUAGAUCUAUUCUUCGUUCUUUGGAUGACUUCCAUUUCCUCGAUGUGUAACCACCUGACUAGGUUUUUGAUGUACAUAAGCCGAGGUCUUCCUCUAGGA
Long non-coding RNA from Mobula hypostoma (lesser devil ray), 419 nucleotides. RefSeq lists it as uncharacterized. The transcript is spliced from 3 exons. NCBI's taxonomy places the organism in Eukaryota, Metazoa, Chordata, Chondrichthyes, Myliobatiformes, Myliobatidae. The record is from RefSeq and is a predicted model, not a curated record.